GAACGGGCAUCGGACACGCUGGGCACGUUGGGAUGCAUCUGAGAAGCGUGUGCUUGCAGCAGGUCUGGGUAUUGAUCUUGACAAGGGAAAUGGUCAGAACCAAAUGUGCCGCCCAGCUUGGACCUCGCUGUUGGCAGAAGACCCUGGCAGGCAACAGACUGGAGGCUCGGAGACCAAGGGGAGAACUCUCACACCGUGACGCUGGUGCAGUCACUGCUUCUGGACUCCUGCUGGAGGGAGCGGCACCUUCACCUUGCAGGCUUUGGUGCAGUGGAGACCUUAGGACCUGCCCCUCCUGGCACACCUGUGGGUGUGGCAAGCAGUGCCAGGGCUGAGGCACAGGUGUGCGUGGUCCAUCGCCCUGCACUGUGGCCAUGGAAGGGAAGAUGAUCUGGAAUGCUGGUGACAGUUAUCGGUGCAUGUUGAUGUGUGCUGCUUUCUACAGGUGAGAACAUUUCUGUUUAAUAAACAAUGAUGACUGCAAG
RNAcentral lists this long non-coding RNA (485 nucleotides) under Rhinopithecus roxellana (golden snub-nosed monkey). RNAcentral's name for it is "lncRNA (ENSRROG00000045822.1)". Lineage: Eukaryota; Metazoa; Chordata; Mammalia; Primates; Cercopithecidae. The record is from RNAcentral.